UUCAGAUUGUAGGCUGCAACUCGCCUACAUGAAGUCGGAAUUGCUAGUAAUCGCGGAUCAGCAUGCCGCGGUGAAUACGUUCCCGGGCCUUGUACACACCGCCCGUCACACCAUGAGAGUUGGCAACACCCGAAGUCGGUAGUCUAACCGCAAGGAGGACGCCGCCGAAGGUGGGGUUGAUGAUUAGGGUUAAGUCGUAACAAGGUAGC
Molecule: ribosomal RNA, 209 nt
Filed under: uncultured bacterium
Lineage: Bacteria
Description: partial 16S ribosomal RNA
Rfam family: Bacterial small subunit ribosomal RNA
Source: RNAcentral